This 462-nucleotide ribosomal RNA is filed under the name uncultured bacterium. RNAcentral describes it as "bacterial SSU rRNA". It matches the Rfam family "Bacterial small subunit ribosomal RNA", at positions 37 to 518 of the family's 1533-position model. The record is from RNAcentral.
GAACGCGUGGCGGCGUGCCUAACACAUGCAAGGUCGAGCGAUUACGUCGGUAAAGAGCGGCGGACGGGUGAGUAACGCGUGGGUAACCUGCCUCAUACACAUGGAUAACAUACCGAAAGGUAUGCUAAUACAGGAUAAUAUAAGAGAUUCACGAUGGAUUCUUAUCAAAGCUCCGGCGGUAUGAGAUGGGCCCGCGUCUGAUUAGCUAGUUGGUAAGGGUAAUGGCUUACCAAGGCGACGAUCAGUAGCCGACCUGAGAGGGUGAUCGGCCACAUUGGAACUGAGACACGGUCCAAACUCCUACGGGAGGCAGCAGUGGGGAAUAUUGCACAAUGGGCGAAAGCCUGAUGCAGCAACGCCGCGUGAGUGAUGAAGGCCUUCGGGUCGUAAAACUCUGUCCUCAAGGAAGAUAAUGACGGUACUUGAGGAGGAAGCCCCGGCUAACUACGUGCCAGCCGCCGC